RNAcentral lists this ribosomal RNA (450 nucleotides) under uncultured bacterium. RNAcentral describes it as "partial 16S ribosomal RNA". It matches the Rfam family "Bacterial small subunit ribosomal RNA", at positions 354 to 796 of the family's 1533-position model. The record is from RNAcentral.
GUGGGGAAUUUUGGACAAUGGGCGAAAGCCUGAUCCAGCAAUGCCGCGUGUGUGAAGAAGGCCUUCGGGUUGUAAAGCACUUUUGGCAGGGAAGAAACAGUGCGUGCUAAUACCAUGCGCGAAUGACGGUACCUGCAGAAUAAGCACCGGCUAACUACGUGCCAGCAGCCGCGGUAAUACGUAGGGUGCAAGCGUUAAUCGGAAUUACUGGACGUAAAGCGUGCGCAGGCGGCUUUGUAAGACGGAUGUGAAAGCCCCGGGCUCAACCUGGGAAGUGCAUUCGUGACUGCAAGGCUAGAGUGGGUCAGAGGGAGGUGGAAUUCCGCGUGUAGCAGUGAAAUGCGUAGAGAUGCGGAGGAACACCGAUGGCGAAGGCAGCCUCCUGGGAUAACACUGACGCUCAGGCACGAAAGCGUGGGGAGCAAACAGGAUUAGAUACCCCGGUAGUCC